Molecule: ribosomal RNA, 808 nt
Filed under: uncultured bacterium
Lineage: Bacteria
Description: bacterial SSU rRNA
Rfam family: Bacterial small subunit ribosomal RNA
Source: RNAcentral
AGAGUUUGAUCCUGGCUCAGGAUGAACGCUGGCGGCGUGCUUAACACAUGCAAGUCGAACGAAGCACCUUAUUCUGAUUUCUUCGGAAUGAAAAAUUCGGUGACUGAGUGGCGGACGGGUGAGUAACGCGUGGGUAACCUGCCUCAUACAGGGGGAUAACAGUUAGAAAUGACUGCUAAUACCGCAUAAGACCACAGCACCGCAUGGUGCAGGGGUAAAACCUCCGGUGGCAUGAGAUGGACCCGCGUCUGAUUAGGUAGUUGGUGGGGUAACGGCCUACCAAGCCGACCAUCAGUAGCCGACCUGAGAGGGUGACCGGCCACCUUGGGACUGAGACACGGCCCAAACUCCUACGGGAGGCAGCAGGGGGGAAUACUGCACAAUGGGGGAAACCCUGAUGCAGCGACGCCGCGUGAGCGAUGAAGUAUUUCGGUAUGUAAAGCUCUAUCAGCAGGGAAGAAAAUGACGGUACCUGACUAAGAAGCACCGGCUAAAUACGUGCCAGCAGCCGCGGUAAUACGUAUGGUGCAAGCGUUAUCCGGAUUUACUGGGUGUAAAGGGAGCGUAGACGGAGUGGCAAGUCUGAUGUGAAAACCCGGGGCUCAACCCCGGGACUGCAUUGGAAACUGUCAAUCUGGAGUACCGGAGAGGUAAGCGGAAUUCCUAGUGUAGCGGUGAAAUGCGUAGAUAUUAGGAGGAACACCAGUGGCGAAGGCGGCUUACUGGACGGUAACUGACGUUGAGGCUCGAAAGCGUGGGGAGCAAACAGGAUUAGAUACCCUGGUAGUCCACGCCGUAAACGAUGACU